AGGGAAUCUUCCACAAUGGACGGAAGUCUGAUGGAGCAACGCCGCGUGAGUGAUGAAGGUUUUCGGAUCGUAAAACUCUGUUGUAAGGGAAGAACCAGUACGUCAGGCAAUGGACGUACCUUGACGGUACCUUAUUAGAAAGCCACGGCUAACUACGUGCCAGCAGCCGCGGUAAUACGUAGGUGGCAAGCGUUGUCCGGAAUUAUUGGGCGUAAAGCGCGCGCAGGUGGUUUCUUAAGUCUGAUGUGAAAGCCCACGGCUUAACCGUGGAGAGUCAUUGGAAACUGGGAGACUUGAGUGCAGAAGAGGAAAGUGGAAUUCCAAGUGUAGCGGUGAAAUGCGUAGAGAUUUGGAGGAACACCAGUGGCGAAGGCAGGCAUCUGGCCAUGUACUGACGCUGAGACGCGAAGGUGCGGGGAGCAAACA
This 426-nucleotide ribosomal RNA is filed under the name uncultured Caryophanaceae bacterium. RNAcentral describes it as "bacterial SSU rRNA". It matches the Rfam family "Bacterial small subunit ribosomal RNA", at positions 356 to 774 of the family's 1533-position model. Lineage: Bacteria; Bacillati; Bacillota; Bacilli; Caryophanales; Caryophanaceae. The record is from RNAcentral.